UAAAGAUUCAUCGCUGAUAGAUAGGCAUGCGUUCCAUUAGGCAGUUGGCGGGGUAACGGCCCACCAAACCGACGAUGGAUAGGGGUUCUGAGAGGAAGGUCCCCCACAUUGGUACUGAGACACGGACCAAACUCCUACGGGAGGCAGCAGUGAGGAAUAUUGGUCAAUGGGCGUAAGCCUGAACCAGCCAAGUCGCGUGAGGGAUGAAGGUUCUAUGGAUCGUAAACCUCUUUUAUAAGGGAAUAAAGUGCGGGACGUGUCCCGUUUUGUAUGUACCUUAUGAAUAAGGAUCGGCUAACUCCGUGCCAGCAGCCGCGGUAAUACGGAGGAUCCGAGCGCUAUCCGGAUUUAUUGGGUUUAAAGGGUGCGUAGGCGGCCUUUUAAGUCAGCGGUGAAAGUCUGUGGCUCAACCAUAGAAUUGCCGUUGAAACUGGGAGGCUUGAGUAUGUUUGAGGCAGGCGGAAUGCGUGGUGUAGCGGUGAAAUGCUUAGAUAUCACGCAGAACCCCGAUUGCGAAGGCAGCCUGCCAAGCCAUGACUGACGCUGAUGCACGAAAGCGUGGGGAUCAAACAGGAUUAGAUACCCUGGUAGUCCACGCAGUAAACGAUGAUCACUAGCUGUUUGCGAUACACAGUAA
RNAcentral lists this ribosomal RNA (637 nucleotides) under uncultured bacterium. Its description in RNAcentral is "bacterial SSU rRNA". It matches the Rfam family "Bacterial small subunit ribosomal RNA", at positions 202 to 842 of the family's 1533-position model. The record is from RNAcentral.